This 471-nucleotide ribosomal RNA is filed under the name uncultured Pseudomonadota bacterium. RNAcentral describes it as "bacterial SSU rRNA". It matches the Rfam family "Bacterial small subunit ribosomal RNA", at positions 505 to 975 of the family's 1533-position model. The record is from RNAcentral. Lineage: Bacteria; Pseudomonadati; Pseudomonadota.
GUGCCAGCAGCCGCGGUAAUACGGAGGGUGCAAGCGUUAAUCGGAAUUACUGGGCGUAAAGCGCGCGUAGGUGGCUUGAUAAGCCGGUUGUGAAAGCCCCGGGCUCAACCUGGGAACGGCAUCCGGAACUGUCAGGCUAGAGUGCAGGAGAGGAAGGUAGAAUUCCCGGUGUAGCGGUGAAAUGCGUAGAGAUCGGGAGGAAUACCAGUGGCGAAGGCGGCCUUCUGGACUGACACUGACACUGAGGUGCGAAAGCGUGGGUAGCAAACAGGAUUAGAUACCCUGGUAGUCCACGCCGUAAACGAUGUCGACCAGCCGUUGGGUGCCUAGCGCACUUUGUGGCGAAGUUAACGCGAUAAGUCGACCGCCUGGGGAGUACGGCCGCAAGGUUAAAACUCAAAUGAAUUGACGGGGGCCCGCACAAGCGGUGGAGCAUGUGGUUUAAUUCGAUGCAACGCGCAGAACCUUACC